ACGCUGGCGGCAGGCCUAACACAUGCAAGUCGAGCGGUAGAGAGAAGCUUGCUUCUCUUGAGAGCGGCGGACGGGUGAGUAAUGCCUAGGAAUCUGCCUGGUAGUGGGGGAUAACGUUCGGAAACGGACGCUAAUACCGCAUACGUCCUACGGGAGAAAGCAGGGGACCUUCGGGCCUUGCGCUAUCAGAUGAGCCUAGGUCGGAUUAGCUAGUUGGUGAGGUAAUGGCUCACCAAGGCGACGAUCCGUAACUGGUCUGAGAGGAUGAUCAGUCACACUGGAACUGAGACACGGUCCAGACUCCUACGGGAGGCAGCAGUGGGGAAUAUUGGACAAUGGGCGAAAGCCUGAUCCAGCCAUGCCGCGUGUGUGGAGGAGGUCUUCGGAUUGUAAAGCACUUUAAGUUGGGAGGAAGGGCAUUAACCUAAUACGUUAGUGUUUUGACGUUACCGACAGAAUAAGCACCGGCUAACUCUGUGCCAGCAGCCGCGGUAAUACAGAGGGUGCAAGCGUUAAUCGGAAUUACUGGGCGUAAAGCGCGCGUAGGUGGUUAGUUAAGUUGGAUGUGAAAUCCCCGGGCUCAACCUGGGAACUGCAUUCAAACUGACUGACUAGAGUAUGGUAGAGGGUGGUGGAAUUUCCUGUGUAG
Molecule: ribosomal RNA, 649 nt
Filed under: uncultured bacterium
Lineage: Bacteria
Description: bacterial SSU rRNA
Rfam family: Bacterial small subunit ribosomal RNA
Source: RNAcentral